This 424-nucleotide ribosomal RNA is filed under the name Verrucomicrobiota bacterium. Its description in RNAcentral is "Verrucomicrobia bacterium partial 16S ribosomal RNA". It matches the Rfam family "Bacterial small subunit ribosomal RNA", at positions 355 to 776 of the family's 1533-position model. Lineage: Bacteria; Pseudomonadati; Verrucomicrobiota. The record is from RNAcentral.
UGAGGAAUAUUGGUCAAUGGACGCAAGUCUGAACCAGCCAAGUAGCGUGCAGGAUGACGGCCCUAUGGGUUGUAAACUGCUUUUAUAUGGGGAUAAAGUGGGGAACGUGUUCCCUUUUGCAGGUACCAUAUGAAUAAGGACCGGCUAAUUCCGUGCUAGCAGCCGCGGUAAUACGGAAGGUUCGGGCGUUAUCCGGAUUUAUUGGGUUUAAAGGGAGCGUAGGCCGUUUGGUAAGCGUGUUGUGAAAUGUAGGAGCUCAACUUCUAGAUUGCAGCGCGAACUGUCAGACUUGAGUGCGCACAACGUAGGCGGAAUUCAUGGUGUAGCGGUGAAAUGCUUAGAUAUCAUGAAGAACUCCGAUUGCGAAGGCAGCUUACGGGAGCGCAACUGACGCUUAAGCUCGAAGGUGCGGGUAUCGAACAGG